This 454-nucleotide ribosomal RNA is filed under the name uncultured bacterium. RNAcentral describes it as "bacterial SSU rRNA". It matches the Rfam family "Bacterial small subunit ribosomal RNA", at positions 340 to 786 of the family's 1533-position model. The record is from RNAcentral.
UACGGGAGGCAGCAGUGGGGAAUAUUGCACAAUGGGCGCAAGCCUGAUGCAGCCAUGCCGCGUGUACGAAGAAGGCCUUCGGGUUGUAAAGUACUUUCAGUCGUGAGGAAGGUGUUAAGGUUAAUAACCUUAGCAAUUGACGUUAGCGACAGAAGAAGCACCGGCUAACUCCGUGCCAGCAGCCGCGGUAAUACGGAGGGUGCGAGCGUUAAUCGGAAUUACUGGGCGUAAAGGGCACGCAGGCGGUUAAUUAAGUUGGAUGUGAAAUCCCCGGGCUUAACCUGGGAAUGGCAUUCAAGACUGGUUAGCUAGAGUCUUGUAGAGGGGGUUAGAAUUCCAUGUGUAGCGGUGAAAUGCGUAGAGAUGUGGAGGAAUACCGGUGGCGAAGGCGGCCCCUGGACAAAGACUGACGCUCAUGUGCGAAAGCGUGGGGAGCAAACAGGGAUUAGAUACC